AAACCCAGAAUCCUGUUCUCUGGAAGGUUGCCAGGUGGCGGCCGACAGCCUCAAAGAUGCGACUGAGUCUGCGCACGCCCACUCCGGAUGGGAAAUGCUCAUACCGCGGAGAGGCGGCGUGGUGCGGCAGUUUCUGGUUCUGGGCGCGGAUGCGGGGAAAAUGGGAAAGGUUCUUUCUGGAAAAUGUAAUGACAUGUCCAUCUGUGACAGCAUCCCAAGAGUCAGCCUGGUUUCUGGAAAUCUAUUCUGACUCCAUGGCAGCUAGGAUGGAUGUAACUUUGCCUGUGGUUAGAAAACAAAGGGUUUACUGAGCAUGGCACGUUUGACCUCCGUGAAUCUGUGCCAUAUAAAAUCCUGGUAGAACAAUUCAAUAAACGUAAAACCACAAUAACAACCGCAAAAACAAAAGUUAAAGCUACUUUUAGAAAC
RNAcentral lists this long non-coding RNA (429 nucleotides) under Physeter macrocephalus (sperm whale). RNAcentral's name for it is "Physeter catodon (sperm whale) lncRNA (ENSPCTG00005013640.1)". The record is from RNAcentral. Lineage: Eukaryota; Metazoa; Chordata; Mammalia; Artiodactyla; Physeteridae.